UGAGUUAGCCCACCCCAACAUCCACCUUGUCUAUGAACUGCUGGAGCAUAUGCAGGGGCUGGACCUGCAGAUCCAGAGCUGCAGGAUCUCCACGACACAAGGCAAUAACAGGAUAUCCACAAGGAGUUCCCAUGAGGGCCCUGUAUCAAGGGUGCAGCAGAAGACAGAGGCCUUGAAUCAGACCAAAGACUCAUUGCAGUGAACACUUGCAAAUUCUCCCUGACUACAGUGUUGGAGCAUAUGGAAACCUGCCGCUUACCCAUGCUGGAAACACAUCCAAAGGAAGGCUUAUAAACUUAAUGUCCUUUAAUCCCAGCACCUGGGAAGCAGGGGACAAUGUUUCCUGGCAUAACCCUGAUUGUCCUGUAGACUGCCUGGCCCCUAUAGACCAGGCUGGCCUCGACCUUAGAGAUCUACCUGCCUUUGCUUCCUGAGAGCUGGUAUUGAAUGUGUGUAUCACCAUAUCUGACUGUGAACAAGUAUUUUUUUUAAUAGAAGAAACUGAGAAUUUAUUCUUG
Myodes glareolus (Bank vole) is the source of this 518-nucleotide long non-coding RNA. RefSeq lists it as uncharacterized. The record is from RefSeq and is a predicted model, not a curated record. Lineage: Eukaryota; Metazoa; Chordata; Mammalia; Rodentia; Cricetidae.